This is a long non-coding RNA of Haliotis rubra (blacklip abalone), 145 nucleotides long. RefSeq lists it as uncharacterized. NCBI's taxonomy places the organism in Eukaryota, Metazoa, Mollusca, Gastropoda, Lepetellida, Haliotidae. The record is from RefSeq and is a predicted model, not a curated record. The transcript has 2 exons.
GGGGACACCAGAUAUGGGCUUCACACAUUGUACCCAUUAGUGUUGGGAAUUGGUUAAAUCUCAUAAUUGAUGAUUGGUUAUUUACAAUCGAUCAAUCAUCGAAUAUAAUUGGCUAGCGUCAUUUAUGAAAUUUGUUAAUGCACAU